CAACUUUAUUAGUUUGUAAACUUUUUUAGAAAAUUUAAGUCAAGGUAAUAAUUCUUUGAUUCUCUAGGGGACGAUAAGACCCUAGAAGCUUUAUACACAGAUUGUCUUUUGAUGGUGGAAAGUAAGGUAUUUGACUGGGGCGGUAUGAGUAUUUAAACUACUUUUUUUAUAAUUUGAUCCUUUAGAUUAAGAUAAAAUGGUUAAGUUACUCUAGGGAUAACAGUGCUAUAUUUUUGGAGAGACCUUAUCGAUAAAAAUGUUUGCUACCUCGAUGUUGAAUUAGGAUGUCUAAAUGAAGCAUAAAGUAUAAAAGAGGGUUUGUUCAACCUUUAAAAUUCUACAU
Molecule: ribosomal RNA, 343 nt
Filed under: Gammarus cf. aequicauda GR_SL4_G.ins_A.ab1
Lineage: Eukaryota; Metazoa; Arthropoda; Malacostraca; Amphipoda; Gammaridae
Also listed under: 1 other name
Description: partial 16S ribosomal RNA
Rfam family: Archaeal large subunit ribosomal RNA (bases 58-343)
Source: RNAcentral